GUGUCAGCAGCCGCGGUAAUACGUAGGGGGCAAGCGUUGUCCGGAUUUAUUGGGCGUAAAGAGCGUGUAGGCGGCCAGACAGGUCCGUUGUGAAAACUGGAGGCUCAACCUCCAGACGUCGAUGGAAACCGUCUGGCUAGAGUCCGGAAGAGGAGAGUGGAAUUCCUGGUGUAGCGGUGAAAUGCGCAGAUAUCAGGAAGAACACCCGUGGCGAAAGCGGCUCUCUGGGACGGUACUGACGCUGAGACGCGAAAGCGUGGGGAGCGAACAGGAUUAGAUACCCCUGUAGUCC
Molecule: ribosomal RNA, 292 nt
Filed under: uncultured bacterium
Lineage: Bacteria
Description: partial 16S ribosomal RNA
Rfam family: Bacterial small subunit ribosomal RNA
Source: RNAcentral